AGCAUAGUUAUGGUAGGAAUGAACCCAAUGGGGCUGUGCGCUCGGCGAAGGGGGCGCGGCAGUUGAAGGUGAUGGUGGUGCACUCGCAGAAGGCUGUGCACCAGGGUGAGCGACGAGGCGCGCGGUUCUUUUCGUGCGUGCCAUUGCGUAGUAACUGAAAUGGAGAAGAAAAAGGGUAAGGUGAAUGAAGAAGAAGGUAAUGAAGAAAUGGUUCAGUGAAAAAUAGGAGAAAGGAAGGAGAAUGAGAUGCUAUGGAGGAAGGAAGUAAAGAAGUGUAAAACAAUGAAAAAGAAGAGAAGACGCGCAGAGAAACCAUAGCGCAGGGUGAAGAAACAAUGUAAAGUAUAUGCAAAUGGCAGUUAUGGGGUGAUGCAAUCGGUAGAGAUCAGUUAAAGGACCAUGAGAUGAAGAAAAGAGGUACCUUUCGAUGAUCGCAGAGGGAUUCUGGGGGCCUGAGGUUGGAGAAGACGAAACACAGGCGUCGCAGUGACGAGACCUCGCCGGAGAUAACAGGGUGAGCACGCAGAGAGAGAGAGAGACGUACUUAGAGAAGAGCACGGAGAUGAAAGCACGUGGGACGAGGUUACAAGAGUUCACUGGAGAGAUGAGAGUGCCUAACAGCGCGUCGUCGGAGAUACCGACACCGGAGUGCGAACGCGUCGUCGGAGAUACUCACACCGGAGUGCGAACGCGUCGUCGGAGAUACUCACACCGGAGUGCAAACGGCAGAGCAGAAACCAAAGAAAAUGCAACGGAUAGAAGAAAUGUCAGUGAGAACAAUGGCAGUGCUUGGAGGGAGAAGAAGAAGAAGAGGCAAAAGAAAAAAUGGACCUUUUGCUCUGUGAAACUAAAUUAAUUUAAAAUUUUGUCUAUUUAUCCAUCUAAAAUGCUUUUAUUAACUUUAUUUUAAUAAAACUCAUAACUAAAGU
RNAcentral lists this long non-coding RNA (929 nucleotides) under Phaseolus vulgaris (common bean). Its description in RNAcentral is "long non-coding RNA (PVUL_LNC000015)". Lineage: Eukaryota; Viridiplantae; Streptophyta; Magnoliopsida; Fabales; Fabaceae. The record is from RNAcentral.